GGGCCCAAUCAAAAUCGUAUCACAUUAUAAGUUUCGUCGAGACUGAUACAUGCGAUUUGCAAAAUCCAAACAACCUCUGAGACAGUAGUGAACUGAACCCAACUUAGAAUUUUAUCACUCAGAUAAACAAUGUAAUAAAUCGAAAAGAGAAUUAAAUAAGAACAAUGUACUACCAUGGGUAGCAAGUGAAAAGGGAGAAGAAAACUGGCAAAUUCAUCCGGCAACAAACAAGCAUAUUAUUUCAUGGAUCUAUGCAGUAGCAUAACUGGCAAUGGCUGUCCUAUCAGCCUUCAAAGUGCAGAAACAACAGAUAACAACCUUGAGCAAACAUCUCUCGACUCAACCACCACUGCAUCAAUCACCCGUGAGCUGCAAAACC
Molecule: long non-coding RNA, 379 nt
Filed under: Linum usitatissimum (flax)
Lineage: Eukaryota; Viridiplantae; Streptophyta; Magnoliopsida; Malpighiales; Linaceae
Description: long non-coding RNA (LUSI_LNC002651)
Source: RNAcentral